GACGAACGCUGGCGGCGUGCUUAACACAUGCAAGUCGAGCGGUAAGGCCCUUUCGGGGGUACGACGAGCGGCGAACGGGUGAGUAACACGUGGGUGACCUGCCCUCAGCUCUGGGAUAAGCCUGGGAAACCGGGUCUAAUACCGGAUAUGACUCCAUGACGCAUGUUGUGGGGUGGAAAGCCUUGUGCGGCUGAGGAUGGGCCCGCGGCCUAUCAGCUUGUUGGUGGGGUGAUGGCCUACCAAGGCGACGACGGGUAGCCGGCCUGAGAGGGCGACCGGCCACACUGGGACUGAGACACGGCCCAGACUCCUACGGGAGGCAGCAGUGGGGAAUCUUGCGCAAUGGGCGAAAGCCUGACGCAGCGACGCCGCGUGAGGAUGACGGCCU
RNAcentral lists this ribosomal RNA (388 nucleotides) under uncultured bacterium. Its description in RNAcentral is "bacterial SSU rRNA". It matches the Rfam family "Bacterial small subunit ribosomal RNA", at positions 28 to 417 of the family's 1533-position model. The record is from RNAcentral.